UUCCGGUGGUAGCACAAUUGUUGCACUCGUAUUGUCAUUCAAAUCUAAUAGAAUUUUGACCAACUCAUUCUCAUCUUCGACUAUCAUAUUAGGGAGGAUAACACAAGCUUGCAUGAUGUUAACAACAUCACCUCAUUUCCAUAACCGUGCCAGACGUUUAACAAUAUCAAAACGAGAUUGCAAGACACCAAAUGCGCACUCGACAUCCUUCCUUGCCCCUUAUUGAUG
RNAcentral lists this long non-coding RNA (228 nucleotides) under Setaria italica (foxtail millet). RNAcentral's name for it is "long non-coding RNA (SITA_LNC002243)". The record is from RNAcentral. Lineage: Eukaryota; Viridiplantae; Streptophyta; Magnoliopsida; Poales; Poaceae.